Molecule: long non-coding RNA, 1921 nt
Filed under: Chloebia gouldiae (Gouldian finch)
Lineage: Eukaryota; Metazoa; Chordata; Aves; Passeriformes; Passeridae
Description: Erythrura gouldiae (Gouldian finch) lncRNA (ENSEGOG00005018584.1)
Source: RNAcentral
GGGGUGCCAAGGAUGGAUUUAGGGUGCCAGGGAUGGGCUCAGGGUGUCAGGGACGGGCUCAGGGUGCCAGGGAUAGGCUUGGGGUGCUGGGGAUGGACUCAGGGUGCCAGGGAUGGGUUCAGCGUUCCAGGGAUGGGUUUGGGGUGCCAGGGAUAAGCUUGGGGUGCUGGGGAUGGACUCAGGGUGUCAGGGAUGAGUUCAGUGUUCCAGGGAUGGGCUCGGGGUGCCAGGGACCAGCUCAGCGUGCCAGGUACAGGCCCAGGGUGCCAGGAACCAGCGCAGGGACAGGCCCAGGGUGCCAGGGAUGGGCUCGGGGACCAGCUCAGGGUGCCAGGGACAGGCUCAGGGUGCUGGGGAUGGGUUUGGGGUGCCAGGGAUGGGCUCAAGGUGCCAGAGAUGGGUUCAGAGUUCCAGGGACCAGCUCAGGGUGCCAGGGACCAGCGCAGGGACGGGCUCGGGGUACCAGGGACAGGCUCGGGGUACCAGGGACGGGCUCUCCCGGUCCCCUCCAUGGGAUGCCCCAGGAGAGCCCGGCCCUACGGCACCGGGGUGUCCCUGGAAGCCGCAGGAAGCCCCGGGAAGUGGCAGCCACCCCGCCGGUUUGGGGCAGCUCUGGGAGCCCGGCUGUGCUCCCCGUCCCGCGAAGGUGACCGCAGGGACGGGGCCCUCCGCGGGGAGCCCCGCCGGGCACUGACCUUGCCCCACAGCCCGGGGGGGGCCGCGUGGGACCCCCGGGGCUGCGAUUCCUCUCUGCUGCUCCCAGGGAGCUCGGGCUGGCAGCUACAUCCCGCGGGAAGGCAGGGGAAGGAUCCCCAGGAUCGCCGUGCUCGCCGCCGUCCCGCCGGGCCCUGUCCUUGGGGGCCUUCUAAAAUUAUCCCGUCCCAUCCCCACCUCCCGGGCUGCUGGGGAUGCCAAGCGUAGCGAGGCCUCCCCGCCUGCUCCCAGAGCUAUUCUGGGAGCAGAUCCCCUUUCCUGGGGGUUGCUAUUUCCGGGCAAUGACACAAAAACUUCCAACACCCAAAAAAAAAAAUCCAAAACCGGUGCAGAGGAGAGGAGCAGGGGAGGGGAGGAUGAUGGUGAGGGUGAGGAAGGCAGCGUGGGUGGGCACUGGGACCCCCGUGGCCACCCCGUGGCCUUACUGCUGGUCCCAUAUGAUGAGGUGGAAGAGGUAUUUGUAGACGUGGGCCUUCCUGGUGAGCAGGGGGCUGCACAGCUCCUUCCCGCCGUGGCUGAGGGAGCACGAGAGGUAGAAAUCUUCAUAACUGUGGGAAAAACACCCAGUGAGCCGGCCGGGGCCACCUGAGCCCCCAAAUCCUGUCAUGAGCGUAGGAAAAGUGGGGAUGGGGCUUUACCAGGGUCACCAGAGCCCCAUAAUCCUUCCCCAGGAUGGGAAAGGGGUGGGGGGCUUUACCUGGGCCACCAGAACCCCUAAAUCCUGCCCUGAGGAUGGAAAAGAGAGGGGGGAGUUUACCCAGGCCACCAGAGCUCCUAAAUCCUACCCCAAAUAUGGGAAAACCUGGACCUCCAGAACCCCGAAAUCCUUCCCCAAGGAUGGGAAAAUCUGGAUCCCCAAAAUCCCUAAAACUUUCUCCAAGAAUGGGGAAACCUGGAUCACCAGAACCCCUAAAUCCUUCCCUGAGAUGGGAAAACCUGGAUCACCAAAGCCCCUAAAUCUUUCCCCAAGGAUGGGAAAGGGGUGGGGGGCUUUAUCCAGAUCACCAGAACCCCUGAAUCUUUCCCCAAUGAUGGGAAAACCUGGAUCCCCAGCACCCCUAAAUCCUUCCCUGAGGAUGGGAAAACCUGGAUCCCCAGCACCCCUAAAUCCUUCCUGGAGGAUGGGAAAGUCUGGAUCACCAAAACCCCUAAAUCUUUCCCCAAUGAUGGGAAAAUCUGGAUCCCCAGCACCCCUAAACCCUUCCUG